Long non-coding RNA from Bubalus bubalis (water buffalo), 544 nucleotides. RefSeq lists it as uncharacterized. The record is from RefSeq and is a predicted model, not a curated record. The transcript is spliced from 3 exons. Lineage: Eukaryota; Metazoa; Chordata; Mammalia; Artiodactyla; Bovidae.
ACACCGUGAGAGCAACAAGAGCCACAAAGAAUGGAAUGGACAGGCCAACUGAGCUAGUUCUCUUGUUUUCUCUCCAUGAGGCUCAAAAACCAGGCUAAUUCCAAGGAGAACUAAGGAAACAUCCCUGGGGGUCUCAGACGAUCACAGGAGUUCAGGCCUGGAAGGCUUAUUUCCCAUGAAUGGCGUUACCUGGGCCAGGGCGGUCAACAACGCCAUAGUGGUUGCCACAUAUUGUUGCUGUGUGUACCCAACAGGCGCGCCAGUUGACACCGUCACUAGCAGGAUUUUAUUGCUGUUAAAGUUGGAAAUUUGCAGCAUUAGGCUUGCUGGUCAGCUGGGCUCCUGGGAUUUUCCUUUAUUGCAAGGCUCCUUCCUUCACCUCACCUGAAGUUGAACCAUUACCCCCACCCCCCCCACCCCCUCCCCACUGCAGGCCAGGUACUGGACUCCCAAACUAUCCCAUACGUCUGGCCUUUUGUCUACAGCACGCAUAGAACGCCACCAACAUUUUGGCUGGGUUUUCUCUCCCACUGUACCAGCUGGC